GCACUGCUGAAGAGUCCCACAAUGGGAUGAAACGGCCGUCCAGUGC
Non-coding RNA from Schistosoma rodhaini, 46 nucleotides. The record is from Rfam. NCBI's taxonomy places the organism in Eukaryota, Metazoa, Platyhelminthes, Trematoda, Strigeidida, Schistosomatidae.